RNAcentral lists this ribosomal RNA (497 nucleotides) under uncultured bacterium. RNAcentral describes it as "partial 16S ribosomal RNA". It matches the Rfam family "Bacterial small subunit ribosomal RNA", at positions 28 to 507 of the family's 1533-position model. The record is from RNAcentral.
GACGGACGCUGGCGGCGUGCCUAAUACAUGCAAGUAGAACGCUGAAGCGAGGAGCUUGCUCUUCUUGGAUGAGUUGCGAACGGGUGAGUAACGCGUAGGUAACCUGCCUUGUAGCGGGGGAUAACUAUUGGAAACGAUAGCUAAUACCGCAUAACAAUGGAUGACACAUGUCAUUUAUUUGCAAGGGGCAAUUGUUCCACUACAAGAUGGACCUGCGUUGUAUUAGCUAGUAGGUGAGGUAAUGGCUCACCUAGGCGACGAUACCUAGCCGACCUGAGAGGGUGAUCGGCCCCCCCGGGACUGAGACCAGGCCCAGGCUCCUACGGGAGGCAGCAGGAGGGAAAUUUCGGCAAUGGGGGCAACCCUGACCGAGCAACGCCGCGUGAGUUAAGAAGGGUUUCGGAUCGUAAAGCUCUGUUUUAAGUCAAGAACGGGUGUGAGAGUGGAAAGUUCACACUGUGAUGGUAGCUUACCAGAAAGGGACGGCUAACUACGUG